Molecule: RNA transcript, 3863 nt
Organism: Uloborus diversus
Lineage: Eukaryota; Metazoa; Arthropoda; Arachnida; Araneae; Uloboridae
Gene name: mitogen-activated protein kinase kinase kinase 20-like
Exons: 22
Source: RefSeq, a predicted model, not a curated record
GAAGUCUGCUGAUAUGGUUUUAAUCGGUAGGCAGAACUUCCUUCAAGCAAUGCAAUUGAUGAAUGGGUGACAAACAGCAUUAUUUUAUAAUGACUGCAAAUAUUUGUAGCUUUGUACAUCAGUUAUAUUAGUUCUAACUAUGGCUGAAGAUUCUGGUGGUAGCAGUACGGUGGGCUCUUGCUCUGAUGAUGCUUCAGACAUGACUAGUCCAUUUGUAGAAAUAGGCUUUAAUGAUAUUGAAUUUUAUGAAAGAUGUGGAGGAGGAGCCUUUGGCUGUGUUUAUAGAGCUCUUUGGAAAUCCCAGAGUAAAAUUGUUGCUGUUAAGAAAUUGUUGGUUUUAGAAAAAGAGGCUCAAGUGCUUAGUUUACUUAGCCAUAGAAAUAUUAUCAAAUUCUUUGGUGCUGUUACAAAGUCUCCAAAUUAUUGUAUUGUCACAGAAUUUUCAGAAAAUGGGUCAUUGUUUGCAUUUCUUGGUGAACAAGAAAAUAAUUCAAUGCUGAGUUUUGAGCAGAUUUUGCGUUGGAGUUCUGAAAUCGCUGCUGGAAUGCAUUAUCUUCAUGUUGAAGCCCCUGUGAAAGUUAUUCAUCGGGACCUAAAAUCAAAAAAUGUUGUCAUUAGUGCAGAUUAUGUCUGUAAGAUAUGUGAUUUUGGAGCUUCACGCUUUAUUGAUAGCACAACGAAAAUGUCUGUAGCCGGAACAUUACCUUGGAUGGCGCCUGAGGUAAUACAGUGCCUUCCUGUGUCGGAGAGUUGUGACGUUUGGUCCUACGGAGUUGUGUUGUGGGAAUUACUCACGCAUGAAGUGCCUUUCAAAGGAAUUGAAGGUUUUCAAGUAGCAUGGGCUGUUGUUGAGAAAGAAGAGAGGUUAACAAUACCCAAAUGUUGUCCUCCAAGAUUUGCCGACUUGAUGACCGCAUGUUGGAAAACAGAUCCAAAAGAAAGGCUUCCUUUUGCACACAUUUUGAAGAUUUUGGAAUCAAUGCAAAAUGAUGAUGCAUUUUGUGAUGAAUUAUCAGUUUAUCUCAGCCAGAAAAGUGUUUGGAGAGAAGAAAUUGAAGCUACUUUAGAGCUUAUGAAAAAAGCAGAGCACGAUUUGAAUCAGAAGCAAAAGCACCUAGAAGAAUGGGAAUUGAGACUUUUAGAAAAAGAAAAGAAACUGGAAAGAAAGAAAAAGUAUAUGCAAUUGUAUGACCUGGAUAUUAACACAUGGACUUCAGAUGAUGUGUAUCUAUGGGUGAAACAAUUAGGUACUGAAGCUAAUUCCACAGAUCUGGACCAGUAUGCCAAUUUGUUUCUAGAGGAACAUAUUAAUGGUCGAAGGCUGUUGUUAAUGUCUUCUGAAGAUUUGAAAGACAUUGGUGUUGUAGCAGUAGGGCAAAGAAUUCAUUUAAUGGAUGAAAUCACUAAGUUGAAAACUCAUAAUAAAAGAAUGCUUCAUUUUCCCCCUUUGGAACAGAGCAUUCAGCACAGUUCAUCUUCAAGUUCCAUUCGACCCAACACCAUGCGUUUAGUUAUCUUAUUUGGAAAUCAUGUGCGAUUAGGCUCCAAGCCUCAGGAUCAUAAAUGGAAAAUGUAUGUUGAAGUAGAUGAAGGAGAUAGUCCAUUAACAACAGUAGCAUGUAUCAAGGAAGUUAGUUUUGAAUGUCGACAUGCUGGACUGCCUCUAUCCAGAAUAACACAACCUCCAUUUGUUAUGGAUCGUUGGUGUGUUGGAAUCAAAGCUGAUACUAUUGUCACUUGUAUUGUAACAUAUGAGUCAAUAGUGAAAAAGCCAAGAUUUACGCAACAUAUUCAUCAAGUUGUGGCUGAAGGAAAUACAUCUCUUCAGAAGGAGGUGACUCUGAUGCUUCGUACUUUACCUCAAAACAAUAGAAGACAGCGAGAACAGCACUGUCGAAGUGCACCUAUUUUACCAGAAGCUUGGCAAGAUCGCUUUUUUCCUGAAUCAUUUUCUCUUCCCCCAGGCAAAAUAGAAAAAAGCACAUGGGCCAAAGUAGUAGCAGGUGAAACAAAUGUUCCUAAUCCUCUUCAGAAAAAUAAGAAAUUUGGCCAUUUUGAUGAUUCUGGUUCCAGUAGUGAAGAAAAUAUAUUUCAAAGUAUGAAAAGUAUUGGACGUCAUCUCCUUGAAGAUACUCAACCGAAGACCCGUUUAAAAAAAGUGUCUUUUACACUGCAUGAAUCUAGUUCAUCAGAAUCUAUUGGAAGUGAUACUCAGUUCUCCUCUAAAGUAUUUCAAGAGAGACGUGGCAGUACACCCUCAUGCCGUCCUCGAUUCAAAUAUAGACAUUCUGCAAGUGAUUCAGGUUUUCCAAUGAAUAAUGAUAUCAAAACUAAAUUUGAUAAAGAUUCUAGGUUUCUGAAAUUUCGAGAAUGUAGGAUAAGACUUCAGAGUGAAGUAGAUAGGUUUAUGAGGGACAAUAAAAAUGAUGCAACCUUUGAGACUGUUGCACGAAAGGCUGAAGAAGCUUUUAGAGAGCCAGUUGAAGAUGCCCUCGGUGAAUUUCCUCUACAUUUCAGAAGGCACCAUAAAGGAUUAGCCGGGCAAGGUGGCAGAGGUCAUCUUUUUCAAACUGACAAAGGCGAACCACAGUUACGAUCUUGGAGCUUAGAUAGAAAUGCAUUGUGAUUCUUAAGUAUUACUUCUGAUUAUUUAAAACUUUCGGUUAUGUAUAUAAAAAGGCAAAACCUUAAGAAGCUGAUCUCUUCUCUUCUGUGUAAGUUAUCUGAUGGAAAUCUCAAAUUAUGCUAAAGUCUGCAAUUUCUUUCUUGUUCUUUGAGUCAGUAAGUCUUUCUUUUGCAAGAACUAUUCAGCUGAAGGUGUUGAUGUAGCCUAGUUAAAACAUAAAAAAGUGCAAUAUUUAUAUCCAAAAACUGUUUAUUGUGAUACAAUCUGGCUUUUUCCUUAUGAAUUAUACUUUAUUCAGUUUCUUGACAAAAUUCAUUUCCUUAAUGUAAGGUCUAAGAAAAUCCACGAGGCCUUGAACUGACACGGAAAUUGAACAUUAAGUGAAAAAGUUAGAGAAAUCAAAAAAAUAUCCAAAACGUCAAAAGAAAAGUUGGUGUGUUAUGAGGGAAUAGGGAUCCACAUGCUAUGGUUACCUAAAUGCAAAUAUGCAAUGAAGAUUUUCUAUAAAUUUUAAUUAUUGUCAAUUUCAUUAAAUCAUUCCCAUUAUUUUCUAAGAAGACAAAAAAGUGAAAGCCAGUGCUACAAGAAAACCUAACAACAGCAUUGUAAUACUUCCUCAUUAUGUAACAUAAACCAUAUGAUUUUUAAGCUAACCCCGGGUUCCCAAAGUGUGCACAAACCAAAGAUGUUGGUGAUAGCCCGAAAAUCUCCAGUUAAUCACCUGUAAAGAUCCACUUUCCUAUUUUGUUUUUUCACGGUAACAUGUAUAAAAUGCAAUAGAGACAGACUAGGGUGUUGUGAGAAAUUUUUAAUUCUUCAACAGGUGCUUGAAAUCGGAAAAGUUUGGGAACUUGUGGACUUAUCAAAAAAAAUAUGUAAGAAAAAAGUUUUCUGUGUAUACCAGUAUAUAAGUAAAUUGGGAAUAUAUUAUUCCCUUCCCAAAACUCACAACGUUAUAUUUUUUUGACCAUAGAAACUGACUAAAACGAAUCACUUCUAUAAAAAAUUACAGUGAAAUUCAACCACACAAAACUCCCACAUUAUUUUCUGACUACAUUACUGUUUAUGAGAUUAACCAUUUUGACUUCAAUCGCAGUGUUGCCAGAUGGUCAAAUCCAGAUUUUCUCGAUUCCCUUCCAACUUUUCCCCAAAAAGCAAUGUUUUCUAUCAAAAUUCCCCAAAUUCAAAAAUUAUUUUUCCACUAAUAUUUUCAUAAAAUGAGUCGACUUCCUCUGAU